UUUCCGUAGGUGAACCUGCGGAAGGAUCAUUAUCGAAUUUCGAGGGGAAGGAAGAUGAGGAGUGGAGACUGUCGCAGGCUUUCCCGCCUGGGAAGCAUGUGCACGCCUUGCUUUUCGUUGACCUUUCUCUUACUCUCACACCUGUGCACCCAUUGUAGGUCCUCGAAAGAGGAUCUAUGUUUUUAUCAUCACACGCAUCGUAUGUCCAUAGAAUGUAACAUGAUCGUCGAUCGACCUCGCGGUCGGGUGGCGGUCUAAAUAAAUAAAUACAACUUUCAGCAACGGAUCUCUUGGCUCUC
This 299-nucleotide unclassified non-coding RNA is filed under the name plant metagenome. RNAcentral's name for it is "partial contains small subunit ribosomal RNA, internal transcribed spacer 1, and 5.8S ribosomal RNA". The record is from RNAcentral.